ACAGGAAACAGAGGUCUAGUUGGUCCAGUUUCUGGUCACCCCAAAAUUGUAAUGAAGAGAGAAAAACUAAAGAAUUUGCUGGACACACAUCUGCCAGUCUCCUGCAUUGCAAAAUUCCUGGGUGUUUCAAGGAGAACGAUUUGCAGAAGAAUGCAAAAAUUUGGCUUAUCUGUAAGAGGAUCAUACAGCACAGUGACUGACCAAGAGCUUGACAACAUGAUUUCAGCCAUCAAAAGUCAGAUGCCAAAUACUGGUUAUCGAAUGGUUUAAGGCCAUUUGGUGUCAAUGGGACAUUGAGUCAAUGGGCAUGUAGUGGUGGGGAAUGAUGGCCUCUAUGCAUCGGGUUGAUGCUGCAGUGAUCUUCUUACGGCUCACAGAGCUAGGUUGUGUUGUGCGAAUAAGUUAUUCUGUGCGAGGCUCUCUCUCCUUGGCCCACAUUGACACAAAUCACAAACUGAUCAGAUACAACAUUGUUCUCUUUGGAGGAGUGGACGGCUACUCAAGGAAGAUCUCCACGGUAAACGGAACGAAAUCCGGCUACACUCAUCAGUGAUUCCCGGAAACGUGUAUCUCCCCAAUGGGCACAACGGUGUCCAUGUUGUCCGAUUUUCUUCUAGAGCAACGUUGUUUCCUCUUCUGCAGAGCUGAAACACUGAUGCAUGUUUCACAGAACACCAAAAUAGUCCACUUUGUCCGGAAAAUGGAACAAUUUAGCCCCUUCCCUUGUGGUAACGUGUAAUUUUGCAUGGAGGUGUGAAAUAUAGGCUGCAACAAUUACAACAGGCCUGAUUCCUUUGUUCCAGAGGGCGUUCAAGCUCCAUAGUUGCCUGUAGGCCGCAUGGUUGAGAUCUCUGUUUAAGAGAUAAUGUUUAACCCACUGCUGGUUGGUCCCAACAGUGUUGAGAACGUGGACAUUGCACACUUUAUGUUCGCCACACGGGGAACAGGAAGAGCGAGCUUUAUCUCGGGAAAGAGUGUCCACAAUCAGAGAGAGGAUGGGGAUGUGGGACUGCCCCGUCAUCCACUGGAGCACGUGUGGCACUGCAAGAGGCUCUGUGUCACCAGCUGCACUGUCUGUCUCCCCAUCUUUGAUUGAUGUAUAUUUCAAAUACCAUGAAAGAGAAGCUAUUCAAACUUACAGUAUUGUCUUAAAAAAUGUAUUAUCCAAGAAUGUGUAUAUGUGCUCAGUACAUUCAAAUGGUGUUAUGUGUAAUUGUGUAUGCACACUAUCAAGUAUAUAGUACCUGACAUUUCAACCUCCUGCAAGAAAUCUUUUAGAAAGUUGAUGAUCUUCCUCUCAGUUCUCCCCUUAGAUGUCCCUUUUUCACUUUAAUUGGGCUGGCAGUUCAUCAUAAUGAAAUCAGCAUCAGGCCAUAAAGAAACAGUGAAUGCAUAUUUGGUUAAAUAUAUUUUAAGUGUUCAAAUAUAGGCUUGUAAAGCUUAUAUAAAAUGAAAAUUCCAAUAUAUAACAAGGCAAAUGUAAGAAAAGAUUAAGUGGCAGUUAAAAUGGAUACCUUGAUAAUCUUCCCGGGAACAAACAGGGAGCGGCAAGCUUCAGGGUUUGUAGCCAUCUGGUCCACCAGGCUGUACAGUUCCGUGCCCUUUCGAAUUUGCUGCAGCAUUGGAAUCAGUCUUGUAGUAGAGUG
Molecule: long non-coding RNA, 1646 nt
Organism: Perca fluviatilis (European perch)
Lineage: Eukaryota; Metazoa; Chordata; Actinopteri; Perciformes; Percidae
Exons: 4
Source: RefSeq, a predicted model, not a curated record